AAAAAAAGAUCGUAAUUUUACAGGAAAUAACUGUAAAUUUGUAUAGUAAUUAUCAUGUUUUUUUAAAUAACUUGCAAAAUCCUGUAAAAUGACAGAUAUUAACUAUAAAUUAACAACCCAAAACAUUAUUUGAAGUAUUUUGACAAUAACAACAAAUAACGUUUAUUUCGUCUUUUUUUUACUGUAAAUUUACUAUAUAAUAUUUACAGUAUUUUUGCACUUUCAGAAAAUACAUGCAGAUGUACGUAAAAUAAAAUGUUUUUAUCUGUAAUUAAAUAUGUAACUCGUAAUAUAAAAGUGUAUUACUAUUAUAAGACUUUAAGAUGUUCUUUGUAAUUUUAAGGUAAACAUAAAACUGUAAGAAAAGCGUAAAAUAAAAAAAACGUAAAAUGUAAGUAAAACAUUUUUACAUAAAUCAUUUUCUCAAUAUUCGAUUGAAUCCAACAAAAACACAAAAUAUCCAAUGUUGAAACAAAAGUAAAUAAAUAUGUUCUCAUGAAAUUCCUAACUUACUAUAUUGUAAACAUCUACAGUUGACAAUAUCAUUAAAAAAAAAAAUCAUAGAAAGUGGAGAAAUCUCUGCAGGGAGGACCAAGGUUUAAAACACACACUGUUAUUUACUCAACAAUAAGUCACAGUUAUCCUUGUUUUAUUUAUGUGUUCUGUUGCUGUGUUUUUUUUCCAUUGGUCAAUUUACAGUAAUAAACCUUAGUUUUACAGUAUAAUGUAUGGUUUUCGGAUUCUGGCCGACAGCCAGAGCUACGGCACUUGAAAUAGAAUUCAGCCAAAACACGGCAGACAAGUCAGGCAUGUUUGGAAUGAGUCCACAACACUCCUGAUUGGUUAAUAUAAACAUCAUCGAAGAAACCUGCCAAUGAGAACUGUCCGCGCCUGUCGUUCACAUUUGAAACAUCCAAGUCAGUUUGAGCGGGUCUCCUCCUGCGAGCUACAGCUGUCUGUGUGUCUGCUGCAGGAGUUUAUGGAUUAAUAUCGGGAUCGUUUUACAUCUACACGUUAAAUAUGAGCAUCGGGACGUCAACAAAGAACAGAAGACUUGAGAUCUGAGCACCAGUGGACAGCGAAGACUAUGGAAGAGAAGAUGUGAUGGUUUUGUGUGGAAAGCUGCUAACGCCAGCCUGUGUCCCUCUCAUCAGUCUCUCCAGGCAGCACCCAGCUAUUCUUGCAGAUGAAAAUACUUUGAUAUCAUCUGGACACAGCAGGAACCUACGCCAGGAUCCUGUUUGUGGACUUCAGCUCUGCCUUCAACACAACACUCUGGCUGGAGGCUGCGCUCCAUCAGGACCAACACCUCUCUCCCUCAGGACCAGAACCUCUCUCCAUCAGGACCAACA
This is a long non-coding RNA of Gymnodraco acuticeps, 1352 nucleotides long. RefSeq lists it as uncharacterized. NCBI's taxonomy places the organism in Eukaryota, Metazoa, Chordata, Actinopteri, Perciformes, Bathydraconidae. The transcript is spliced from 3 exons. The record is from RefSeq and is a predicted model, not a curated record.